This 253-nucleotide ribosomal RNA is filed under the name uncultured bacterium. Its description in RNAcentral is "partial 16S ribosomal RNA". It matches the Rfam family "Bacterial small subunit ribosomal RNA", at positions 524 to 776 of the family's 1533-position model. The record is from RNAcentral.
UACGUAGGGUGCGAGCGUUGUCCGGAAUUACUGGGCGUAAAGAGCUCGUAGGCGGCCUGUUGCGUCCGCUGUGAAAGCCCGGGGCUUAACCCCGGGUCGGCAGUGGAUACGGGCAGGCUAGAGGUAGGUAGGGGAGAAUGGAAUUCCCGGUGUAGCGGUGAGAUGCGCAGAUAUCGGGAGGAACACCGGUGGCGAAGGCGGUUCUCUGGGCCUUACCUGACGCUGAGGAGCGAAAGCGUGGGGAGCGAACAGG